AGAGUUUGAUUCUGGCUCAGAACGAACGUUAGCGGCGCGCCUAACACAUGCAAGUCGCACGAGAAAGGGCUUCGGCCCCGGUACAGUGGCGCACGGGUGAGUAACACGUAGAUAAUCUUCCCUCGGGUGGUGGAUAACUCUCCGAAAGGAGAGCUAAUACAGCAUGAGACCACGGCUCCCCUGGAGCUGCGGCCAAAGCAGGCCUCUAUACAUAAGCUUGCGCCUGAGGAUGAGUCUGCGGCCCAUCAGCUAGUUGGUAGGGUAAUGGCCUACCAAGGCUAAGACGGGUAGCUGGUCUGAGAGGAUGAACAGCCACACUGGAACUGAGACACGGUCCAGACUCCUACGGGAGGCAGCAGUGGGAAUCUUGCGCAAUGGGCGAAAGCCUGACGCAGCGACGCCGCGUGAGCGAUGAAGGCCUUCGGGUUGUAAAGCUCUGUGGGGAGGAAAGAAUAAGGGUUGGCUAAUAUCCAACUUGAUGACGGUACCUCCUUAGCAAGCACCGGCUAACUCUGUGCCAGCAGCCGCGGUAAGACAGAGGGUGCAAACGUUGUUCGGAAUUACUGGGCGUAAAGCGCGUGUAGGCGGCUCUGUAAGUCGGAUGUGAAAUCCCACGGCUCAACCAUGGAAGUGCAUUCGAAACUACAGGGCUAGAGUUCUGGAGAGGAAGGUGGAAUGCUUGGUGUAGAGGUGAAAUUCGUAGAUAUCAAGCGGAACACCGGUGGCGAAGGCGGCCUUCUGGACAGUAACUGACGCUGAGACGCGAAAGCGUGGGGAGCAAACAGGAUUAGAUACCCUGGUAGUCCACGCCGUAAACGAUGAGUGCUAGGUGUCACGGGCUUUGACCCUCGUGGUGCCGAAGCUAACGCGUUAAGCACUCCGCCUGGGGAGUACGGUCGCAAGACUAAAACUCAAAGAAAUUGACAGGGGGGCGCACAAGCGGUGGAUGAUGUGGUUUAAUUCGAUGCAACGCGAAAAACCUUACCCACCUUUGACAUGUACGGAAUUUGCCAGAGAUGGCUUAGUGCUCGAAAGGGAGCCGUAACACAGGUGCUGCAUGGCUGUCGUCAGCUCGUGUCGUGAGAUGUUGGGUUAAGUCCCGCAACGAGCGCAACCCUUGUCAUUAGUUGCUACGAAAGGGCACUCUAAUGUGACUGCCGGUGACAAACCGGAGGAAGGUGGGGAUGACGUCAAGUCCUCAUGGCCCUUAUAGGUGGGGCUACACACGUCAUACAAUGGCUGGUACAGAGGGUUGCCAACCCGCGAGGGGGAGCUAAUCCCAUAAAACCAGUCGUAGUCCGGAUCGCAGUCUGCAACUCGACUGCGUGAAGUCGGAAUCGCCAGUAAUCGCGGAUCAGAAUGUCGCGGUGAAUACGUUCCCGGGUCUUGUACACACCGCCCGUCACACCAUGGGAGCGGGUUCUGCCAGAAGUAGUUAGCCUAACCGCAAGGAGGGCGAUUACCACGGCAGGGUUCGUGACUGGGGUGAAGUCGUAACAAGGUA
Molecule: ribosomal RNA, 1504 nt
Filed under: metagenome
Description: bacterial SSU rRNA
Rfam family: Bacterial small subunit ribosomal RNA
Source: RNAcentral